RNAcentral lists this transfer RNA (102 nucleotides) under Actinomycetota bacterium. RNAcentral's name for it is "tRNA-Ser". Lineage: Bacteria; Bacillati; Actinomycetota. The record is from RNAcentral.
GCCGACUAUAUAUGCGGCAUUUGCAAGCCCGUGCAACCACCUGCAACGCCUGAGUGAUCACUCGUAAUGAGCAGGUCAGCGGUUCGAGUCCGCUCGUCGGCU